CACCAUCACGGGCUGCAUUCUUCUGUUAGAAGAAAAAUAUGAGUCGGAUGAAACCCGAUCAAAAGUAGGAUAAGGCAUAACAAAGAUUUCUAAUCCAAGGUAUGCUAAACAUGAACGAAUUAACUGGUUAUAUCAUAUGAAAAGCAGAUCUAGCUGUUUCGUUAUGAAAGAAUAUUCCAAGGCACUUGUGGGAAGAACUAUACUAUACAAGAAUCGUAGAAGAAUUAUACGCAUUAGGUCUACAUUGAUGAUAAACUUUGAACCAAUAAUAAUGAAAAUUUAUGCAGGUAAAUAAAUAGUCUUAAUGUGGAAUUUUACAGAAAUGUCCACUGCACAACUUCUGCUUAAGAACAUAAACAGCUUCAAUAUCAGUCCAGAUUGUCAGCCUAAAGAGUCCAAUUCAAGCACAAAAAGGGGUUUCAAUCCAUCUUCUAAAAUGGGAAAUCCACAGCUAUGAUUGAAUUAUGAAAUACGAAAUGCGAAGUUGUAAGGGAUUGAAUUAUUAUACUAUAAAAUACAUAAAAGGUCAGAUUUUAUUACUUAUGUUUAUCAAAUCAAGCAAAACAAAAUCAUAAUGGCCAAUCUAAAAUCAGGCAUUAAAAAAAUAAUUACUGUAAUCUACAUCACAAGACAUAGCAACAUUAUCUCCAAUACCAAUAAUCAAUAACAAUUGACUCAGAAAAAAUCAAUAACAAAAUUUGCUGAAAAUUAACUUCAGAAUUAUCUUUUAAGAAAGACUUCACACUUAAAAACGGCAUGCAGAAACAUAUAAUCAAAUAUCCAAAUUCCAAAGCAGCCUUCACUACAACGCAAUUCCUAUCAAAAUCCAGAAAAUAAAACAACACCGUCAAAACAAUGUAGUUCCAGCUGAUUACGAGCAAAAAAAAAAACUUCAAAAUGAAGUGCAUGCAGGAAAAAUCGCACCAACAGCCACCAAAUCGGAGUCAAAACUUCAUAAAACCACAUAUCAACAGGGAAAUUUGAUAUAAAAACGUAACUGCAUCCAUUUCAUUUUUUUUUUUUUCAGAAGAAUCGUAGAUCUACCAAAAUCGAAUUAGAAUUCAAAAGAGGAAAGGACAAUACCACGCGAUCAAAUGACGGAGGAACAUCGAAAUCACCAUCUGCUUCCAUCGCCUUUAUUUAUUUUUAAUUUUUUUAGAGAGAAAAUUGGAAUUAUUGGAAGGUGGGUGAAGCCAGAGUCUUAAAUUUGAUUGACGAGUGUGCGUUGGUG
RNAcentral lists this long non-coding RNA (1231 nucleotides) under Salvia miltiorrhiza (redroot sage). RNAcentral describes it as "long non-coding RNA (SMIL_LNC009490)". Lineage: Eukaryota; Viridiplantae; Streptophyta; Magnoliopsida; Lamiales; Lamiaceae. The record is from RNAcentral.